This 5867-nucleotide long non-coding RNA is filed under the name Homo sapiens (human). RNAcentral describes it as "HSALNT0312303". The record is from RNAcentral. Lineage: Eukaryota; Metazoa; Chordata; Mammalia; Primates; Hominidae.
UGAACUCCUGACCUCAGGUGAUCCAUCUGCCUUGGCUUCCGAAAGUGCUGGGGUUAACGGGUGUGAGCCACUGCACCCGGCCUCAUCAUGUGUGUCUUUCUUUUCCCUCAUAGCAUUUGCUGCUCUGUAAUUACACUCUUCAUUAAUGUGUUCAUGUCUUUCUUCCCUGCCUCUCCUCCUAGGGCAAAAGCUUGCUGACCACAAAGAACUUGUCUGUGCUGAUUACUGCUAGAUCUUGGAUGUCAAACACAGUGACCACAUUAUGGAUGCAGUGGAAAAUUGUUAAAUGAAUGAACAAAGUAUAGGUCUGCCAGUUUCCUUGGGUAAAAUUAAGGUGAUUUUCUUCUACAACAUGAUUGAGCUAGCAUACUCUCCAGGAGGGAACAGACAGGCAUUCUGAAAGGAUGUUUGCCUUUGAAGAUGGGCCUGUUAGUAUCCUCUAUUUUAUAAAUGAGGAAGUGAAACUCAUGUCAGCUGCCAUUUCUGCCAUCCAUAGGGUAGGUAGGAUCUCUCUGUACCCCUUCUAGAGUUUAAGAACUCAGCCACAGGGGGCUAAUUAAUUGGUUAAUUCAUUUUCUUACAGUGUGCAAAACAGGGAGAACCCAAGUGGAGAGUGGUGAAGAGUAUUGCAGUGCUAAACAAAAGUGACGUUCUGUUUUCAAAGGUGACUUCCAAUGAAGACUACUCUUUAGCCUGAACAUGGAGGGAAAAAGAACAGUGUCAGUACCCACAGUCCUAUUCUUCCUUCUACAUCUGACAUUAUUAUUUUUUUCCUUUCCAUAGGCUUAGGCUUCUAAUCCCGAUGAUUACUUUUCUUACCUAUUUCUGUAGCAUGUUUUCAUGCUGAAAGAGAAGUUGACGUGCUGUUGUCAUCGUAUUAAGGCCUAAGCAGAACAGCAUUAUUGGUAUUAUUAUUUUUCCUCUCACAAACAGGAUUCCACUUAAUCUCUUUUACCGGAUGGCACAGUUAAAGUGCCUUCUUCAUCAGAGCCUGUUUUAAACAAGCAGGCCUUUUAUUUUAUGACACUUAUAUUGAGACACAUUGAGUUAUAUCUGUCUUUUCAUUUGCACCAACACAUUUAUUUGAGGCCUCAUAUUUCCUAGGUAACGUGACUAAGGUAGAUUUAUCGGUGCUAAUUUGCAUACAGAACAACAUUGGCAAAACUAAAAUAUAACAAACACAUACUAACUUUUGACUUGCCACAGCCCACCAAGCAUCUGCCUUCAUUGCCAUGCCUGUAAUGAGAGGGAAAUAUAUUUUCCUCUGAGUUUAAAUCUAAUUCCUUGUUUGUAUUCCACUGUCGUCACUGCUGUUGAGAGCUCGAAGUGAGGUUUAAGAGCCUCUUCAUAUCUAACAGCAGGAGUUUAUAUUAGAGGUGGUAGUUCUGUAUAACAGAAAAUGCGGCUUUUGCUCACCCACCUCGAUUUCAUACCACAUUUGAAGAACCCUGCUACAUUUAAGUAAGGGGCAAGCCCUUUGUUUUGCACAAAAGUUAAUAGAGACUUAAGGCUACACCAUUGUGUUAAAGCCUGGCUUUUAUUUCUUUUUCUCAAUGUUGCUUUUAAGUAGAUUGAUAUUUAUGGCACAAAUAAUAAAUGAAUUUAUUUAAAAAUUCAUUAUUAAAAAAAUUUUUUUAAAUUAUAGAUUAGGUUGAAAUUUCUUGGUCUGCCCUUCCCAAGUUUACUGGCAAUAGCUUGGUGAACAUCAUCUGGACCUUUUCCUAUACAUUUACUUAUGCAUGUAUCUGUCCUUAGAAGAUACACAUUAUUGCUUCAUGUGUGAACAUGUGUGUCUAAUAUAUGUUCUUCUGCUGUAUGUAUUGUUCUGCAGCUUGCUGGUUUCUUUUAGUCUUGUGCCUUGUAGAAUAAUUAGUGCUACCAUGUUCAGACUUAAUAGGCUAGAUUAGUCAAUGCUGUUAUCAUGAGUUAUUCCUAAGAUCUCAGUGGUUAACACGUCAAACGUUUAUUUCUCAGUCAUGCACAUGUGGGUCAGGUGACAUCCCCCAUGUUGUAACUCUUAUAAUCCAGCCUAAUCUCACCUGUGAUUCCACCAUCUCCACAUGUGGCUUCCAGGUCCUUGUAGCCAACAAAUAGGGCUCUGGAGGGUUGCACAUGGUCUCUUAAAAGUUUUGGCAUACUAGCUACAAGAGAACUGAGAAAUGUAGGGGUACACAUGGUUACUUGGUGAUACUGUGUUGCCAUAGAUAAUGUUAAAUAGUUCACACAGUCAGAAUAUAUUAUAGUUUGUUUUGCCAGUCUUCUAUUUGAUGGGCAUUUGGAUCAUUUCCAAUCGUAUCCUUUUGUUAUGUACAAUUCUCCAGAGAAGAUCCUUGCAUGUAUCUCUGGUACAUGUUUUGCUAGGAUAGAUACCCAGGAAGUAGACUUUCCAGGUCAGAGAAUGGGGGUGCUUUAGUUUUCAUAAACACUGUCAAAUUGUUUUGGAAGGUGGUUGCACUAGUGUUCUGUUGUAAGGAUAGUAUCUGAGAAAGUGCAUUUCACCUGACCUUCAACAACAAUAGCAUCAGAUCUCGUGUGUGUGUGUGUGUGUGUGUGUGUGUGUUUGUGUUUGUGUUUGUGUUCAGUGGCAUCUUCAUUCCUUUUGGCAAAAUGGCUUCUUCCGUUUUGUUUGAGUUUCUAUUUUCUUGAUUACUAGUAAGUCCUGGGCUCUUUCUAAUACUGCUUUAUGCUGCCUUCCCAAGUGAGCAGUACUAGUGUGCAAAGUCGAGCUGAAGAAGGCUGGAGCAAGUGCAGAGCCAGUGGGUAGACGAUUUUCCCUUUCAGGGGUGUCGAGCUCAGGGACAUUUCUUUUGAUAUUCUCUGUUGAUUCCCCCACCUCCCCACCCCAGGUGCUAUUUCAGUUGUUUCUACACCUCUAAUUUUAAAACCAUGGGGCGAAGGAUGAUUUCUUGGGCAUGUCAUUUUUUUUUUUCUGUGUAGCUGUCUGGUUUUGUGCUUGGAGUUUUUAUGUCAGUUUUUGCCCACUUAGCCAUUGUCUUGUUAUCUUCUGGUUCUCUUUGUCCCCUGCCUCAUUUUUCAUUCUUUUUCUUCUGCUUCUGCUCCCUUGUUCCCAUAGGCCCUUAAAUCUUUAUGUGUUGCUUUUCUUUUAAGUUGUAUUUUUCCCCUUCCCCUCCAAGCUUAGAAAUGUUUGCUCUAUCAAAGAAACGCAGGAAGGAAGGGAAUGAUGGCAAGGAUAUUGUACAAGUCCAAAGGGAACAAAACCUAGGUGCCCACCUACCCCAGCUAGUUUAAGAAUGUGAUGCUGUUCCUAUCACGGUCACUUUGCCAAAAUCCAUGUGAAGGAAGGAAAAAAGCUGGGAAUUAGUCCAGCUUUCAUCAGGCCUCUGGCUUACUAUAUGAUCCCUAGGCAAGACACUUUCCCUCAUCAGGCCUCCAGGUUCCUGACUGUAAACUGAGGUGAUUGGACCCCAGUGGUCCCUUUAUAUCUUGAAACCCCAGUAUUUGAAACAUGUGACUAACUGGGAAACUUCUCCAGUAUAGGGUCCCAAAGACCUUUUUAAAAGUGGAUCACUGCCAUUCCCCUUCACCUUCAGCCUGUGAAGCACUGUGUCAGUAAGGGCCAGUCAGGAAGACAGGGAUUUUGUGAGGUCAUUUAAUAGAAUUUAACAAAGGGCCGGAAAGAUUGUAAGGCACACAGGCUUGGGAGGCAACACAGAGAUGGAUGGACAACAGCAGGAAUCUUCCGUGAGCCAUAGGAGAGGAAGGAAAUGGUGUUGGCCGAGUCUAGGGCUAGCUGUUACAAGCAGAAGUCACAGCAGGGGAGAUAGCAGGAGCUGGAAUGUGGAAGAGAGGGCUGUCUGGAGAGACCUGGAGCUUCAGAGGAGAUGCUGUUACACCCACAAAGAGGACAACAAAGCCUGGUGUCUUCCCCCUACUGUUCAGUCUCUGAACAGAGUCUCAAAUUUAGGCAGAAGAGCCUGUGGAAUGGUCCUGAGGGCAGGCUGGCAAAUGACUGGCAGAAACAAUCAAAAGGCACUGGGGCAGAUGAUCUUUAUACUCCAUUCCAUUCCUUGCAUUCUAGAAUUCAUGGAUUAUCUGAGAGAUUCUUCAUGUCUCCUGCAGCAAAGAUGUUAUUUUUAGGGUCAUAACAGGUAGCUCUUCCUAGGAGUUGAAAUAAACUUCUACCAUUCUAGCAUCUUAGGACAACACCUAUUCACAUCUCCACCUCCCUCCCUCCCAAAGCCUGGAGUAGUUACAUUUUACCUUACACGAGCUCUGUCAGCAUUUCGUGAAAGUCCUAUUCCUGGUAGACUUUUGACGAAAGGGACACUAUUUUACUUGUCUCUUAUCUCAGUCUCUAUCACCACAGAGCCUCUGGGACCAGAAUACAAACACAGGGAACCAAUAGUGUUACCCAGUUGAUCCAGAAGUUUUACUGUUUCAGAGUAACUUGUGAUCUUGGGCAAGUUCAGCCCGUUUCCUAAUUUGUAACAUGGCUUUAUUGGUCAGUAAAGCCAAUUGGGCAAAAAGGUUGUGCAAUAGUAACAAAUAACCCCCAGAAUUUCAGUGGCUAAGAAUCCACAAAGGUGUAUUUUUUACUACACAUUUACGUAAAGUCACUUGGUAUAUGUCCAUCCUUAUUCUGGUCCCUGGCUGAUAGAUCAGCUACCAUCUUGAAUGUUGCCAUUCCCCAUAUCUAGAGAGGGCAAACUUCGAUGGGGUAGGAGGGAUGGCAAUUAAACGUUGGCCUGAAUGUGUCACACAACAUAUGUACUCACAACUUACUGGCUGGAACUAGUUAAUUGAUAUGAUACUGUGAUAUAAUAAAAAAAAUACAUAUUUGGUCUUUACCCCUGGUUCCUGGCACACAGUUCCUAAGACCCUUGGGAUAUCUGAAGUGAUGAGUGUCUUUUCUACCCUAAUGAGAUGACUAGUGGUUGGAGUCCACUAGGUAGCUUCAGGAUUGUGACUGGUUACUAGAAAGCCCAUAGCAUAAUUAGAGGGUUGGGACUUUCGGUUCCAUCCUCCCAGUCUCUGGGGAAGAGAGCGGGACUAAAAGUUGAGUUAAUCGCCAAUGGCUAAUGAGGUAACAAUCAUGCCUAUGUAAUAAAAUAAUAAAAUCUUAAGAGGACAAGGUUUGGAGAGUGUCCAGAUUGCCAAAUAUGUGGCGGUAUCUGCAAGGUGGUACCCCCAGAGAGGGCAUGGAAGCUCCAUGGGCAUACCUUGUUAUGUACACCUCUUCCAUCUGGCUGUUCACCAGUGUCUUUUGUCAUAUCCUUUAUAAAUAACUGGUAAAUGUCAGCAGUGGUUUUUGUGAGCUCUGUUAGCCAUCUUAUAAAAUUAGUUAAACCCGAGGAGGAGGUCUUGGGAACUCCCAAUUGAUAACUGGUUGGUCAGAAGCACAGGUAAAAUAACCUGGGGCUUGUGCCUGGCAUCUCAAGUGGGUAUAGUCCUGUGGGACUGAGCCUCUAACCUGGGGGAUCUGGUGCUAACUCUAGGUAGUAGAUACGGCAUCGCCUAACUUCAGCUGAAGUAAGGAAGUGCCUAGAAGGAAGAAGACCGAGGAUAUUUCUUGAUUUGCACUAAUGACAGCUACAGAGAGAGAUAAUAAUUCUUGACAUUUCCUGAUUGUUUUAACCAUGAAACAUGAAUAUUUAAUAUAAUGCCUAGCUCAUAAGUGCUCAAUUAAUAGUAGAUGGAACUAUUAUUGUUAUUAUUAUUCAGCAGUUUAUAUUACAUUUCCAGCGUACUUUCUACCAUCCAUUUGCAUAGCAGAUUUCUUCUCACCCUUUUUUUACAACUGAGAAUGCAGAAGUAAACAUAAAUUAUACUUCUGUAGAUGUAUCACAUUUUUUUUUGUUUUUUGAGACUGAGUCUCACUCUGGCACCCAAGCUGGAGUGCAGUGGCA